Molecule: ribosomal RNA, 164 nt
Filed under: uncultured bacterium
Lineage: Bacteria
Description: partial 16S rRNA
Rfam family: Bacterial small subunit ribosomal RNA
Source: RNAcentral
UAGGGAAUCUUCCACAAUGGACGAAAGUCUGAUGGAGCAACGCCGCGUGAGUGAAGAAGGGUUUCGGCUCGUAAAACUCUGUUGUUAAAGAAGAACAUAUCUGGGAGUAACUGUUCAGGUAUUGACGGUAUUUAACCAGAAAGCCACGGCUAACUACGUACCAG